This 227-nucleotide long non-coding RNA is filed under the name Ananas comosus (pineapple). RNAcentral's name for it is "long non-coding RNA (ACOM_LNC027019)". Lineage: Eukaryota; Viridiplantae; Streptophyta; Magnoliopsida; Poales; Bromeliaceae. The record is from RNAcentral.
GUGUAUAUAUAUAGAGUCCAGCUAUGGUGUUUCUAAAAGCAGUAAGCACUUGGUGCUUGUAAGUUUUCCGCCAUUAGAUCUACUUCUUUGAUCAUUUUCAUCCGUUAGAUCAUACUAUUCGACCAACCAUCUAUUCAACCCUAGAGGACCACUAUCAUCUUAACUGCACAUCCCUUAAUCCAAAGACUGUAAAUCUACAAGUAUCAAUAAUCUGGUAUUUUCAAACA